GGGUCGGGGGCCUCGGGGGACGCCGUGCUCACGGCGAGGACGCCGGUGGCGUGGCGGGUCCACGGCUCGGCCUCCGCGCCGGUCCC
RNAcentral lists this transfer RNA (86 nucleotides) under Streptomyces longispororuber. RNAcentral describes it as "tRNA-Val". Lineage: Bacteria; Bacillati; Actinomycetota; Actinomycetes; Kitasatosporales; Streptomycetaceae. The record is from RNAcentral.